Cuculus canorus (common cuckoo) is the source of this 772-nucleotide long non-coding RNA. RefSeq lists it as uncharacterized. The record is from RefSeq and is a predicted model, not a curated record. Lineage: Eukaryota; Metazoa; Chordata; Aves; Cuculiformes; Cuculidae. The transcript has 3 exons.
CUCCAGCAAAUGUGAAGGCUGCAGAGUGUGGCCUUGGCCGGGGAGCGCAGGGGCUGGUUCUAAUCUUUAGCCUGUUCCAUUUUGGGUUCAUUACGGUGAAAUUCAUCACUUCAGCCAGGUAAAUGUGUGCAGGAGCGAUUCAUCAGGCUGAGGACCUGUAUUUAUGUUUCAAUCAACUGGAAAUGAGAUGGAGGAACCCCGCUUGCCUGAGGGCAAGAGAAAGGAGCUGAAGAUAUGGUAGGUCAGGUGGAAGACACGGCUUAGCCGGGACACAGAGAGACUGAGGCAAGGGUAGAGAACAAAGUCCUCUGGCACAUCAGAGCGAGAAGAGCUGCGAGGGAAUUUGUGCUUCCAUGAGAAACCCGCAGGCGGUGAAAGAAACGAAGAAGGAGGGAAGGACACUGCAGAGGAGACAGAGGAUUCCUCCGCACCAGAGGGGCCGUUGGUGCAGCGGUGACGCCAGGGAGUGCUGCCCAGGGCUCCCGGAAUCCGUGGCAGUGCUUCAGAGAGCACCCGGGACGGCCACCCUCCUCCACGACUGCAGGAGGGCAAAGCAGCUCCACCGCUAGACUAAAUAGGUUGGGCUGGGAAGCGGCCAAGGCAAAAAGUUUUCUCCUAAAAAUGCCGAUUCAUCAACUUUCUCGUGAAUAGAUCAGCACUGUUUUCCUUUUUCACUGCAAAAAUAAAAAGGAAAACCUCUCCAAAUUACUGAACGUGGAGUCCUUUUCUGCUUCAAAAAUCCUGAAAUUAAAGUUAAUGAUAGGAAAACAUA